This 345-nucleotide unclassified non-coding RNA is filed under the name soil metagenome. Its description in RNAcentral is "partial contains 5.8S ribosomal RNA, internal transcribed spacer 2, and large subunit ribosomal RNA". The stretch from base 1 to 120 matches the Rfam family "5.8S ribosomal RNA", at positions 35 to 154 of the family's 154-position model. The record is from RNAcentral.
GAUGAAGUACGUAGCGAAAUGCGAUACGUAAUGUGAAUUGCAGAAUUCAGUGAAUCAUCGAGUCUUUGAACGCACAUUGCGCCCCCUGGUAUUCCGGGGGGCAUGCCUGUCCGAGCGUCAUUGCUGCCCUCAAGCACGGCUUGUGUGUUGGGCCUCCGUCCUCCUCCCGGGGGACGGGCCCGAAAGGCAGCGGCGGCACCGCGUCCGGUCCUCGAGCGUAUGGGGCUUCGUCACCCGCUCUUGUAGGCCCGGCCGGCGCUUGCCGACACAUCAAUCUUUUUUCCAGGUUGACCUCGGAUCAGGUAGGGAUACCCGCUGAACUUAAGCAUAUCAAUAAGCGGAGGA